Molecule: ribosomal RNA, 240 nt
Filed under: uncultured bacterium
Lineage: Bacteria
Description: partial 16S ribosomal RNA
Rfam family: Bacterial small subunit ribosomal RNA
Source: RNAcentral
GAUCCUGGCUCAGGAUGAACGCUAGCUACAGGCUUAACACAUGCAAGUCGAGGGGAAACGACAUCGAAAGCUUGCUUUUGAUGGGUGUCGACCGGCGCACGGGUGAGUAACGCGUAUCCAACCUGCCCACCACUUGGGGAUAACCUUGCGAAAGUAAGACUAAUACCCAAUGAUAUCCCACGAAGGCAUCCGAAUGGGAUUAAAGAUUUAUCGGUGAUGGAUGGGGAUGCGUCUGAUUAG